UACGUAGGGUGCAAGCGUUGUCCGGAAUUAUUGGGCGUAAAGAGCUCGUAGGCGGUUUGGUAGGUCCGCUGUGAAAACUCGAGGCUCAACCUCGAGACGCCGGUGGAAACCAUCAGACUAGAGUCCGGAAGAGGAGAGUGGAAUUCCCGGUGUAGCGGUGAAAUGCGCAGAUAUCGGGAGGAACACCGGUGGCGAAGGCGGUUCUCUGGGCCUGUACUGACGCUGAGGAGCGAAAGCGUGGGGGAGCGAACAGG
This 254-nucleotide ribosomal RNA is filed under the name uncultured bacterium. RNAcentral describes it as "partial 16S ribosomal RNA". It matches the Rfam family "Bacterial small subunit ribosomal RNA", at positions 524 to 776 of the family's 1533-position model. The record is from RNAcentral.